RNAcentral lists this ribosomal RNA (867 nucleotides) under Pseudobacillus badius. RNAcentral's name for it is "bacterial SSU rRNA". It matches the Rfam family "Bacterial small subunit ribosomal RNA", at positions 384 to 1243 of the family's 1533-position model. Lineage: Bacteria; Bacillati; Bacillota; Bacilli; Caryophanales; Bacillaceae. The record is from RNAcentral.
UGACGGAGCACGCCGCGUGAGUGAAGAAGGUUUUCGGAUCGUAAAGCUCUGUUGUCAGGGAAGAACAAGUACGGAAGUAACUGUCCGUACCUUGACGGUACCUGACCAGAAAGCCACGGCUAACUACGUGCCAGCAGCCGCGGUAAUACGUAGGUGGCAAGCGUUGUCCGGAAUUAUUGGGCGUAAAGCGCGCGCAGGCGGCUUCUUAAGUCUGAUGUGAAAGCCCACGGCUCAACCGUGGAGGGUCAUUGGAAACUGGGAGGCUUGAGUGCAGAAGAGGAGAGCGGAAUUCCACGUGUAGCGGUGAAAUGCGUAGAGAUGUGGAGGAACACCAGUGGCGAAGGCGGCUCUCUGGUCUGUAACUGACGCUGAGGCGCGAAAGCGUGGGGAGCGAACAGGAUUAGAUACCCUGGUAGUCCACGCCGUAAACGAUGAGUGCUAAGUGUUGGAGGGUUUCCGCCCUUCAGUGCUGCAGCUAACGCAUUAAGCACUCCGCCUGGGGAGUACGGCCGCAAGGCUGAAACUCAAAGGAAUUGACGGGGGCCCGCACAAGCGGUGGAGCAUGUGGUUUAAUUCGAAGCAACGCGAAGAACCUUACCAGGUCUUGACAUCCCGCUGACCGGUCUGGAGACAGGCCUUUCCCUUCGGGGACAGCGGUGACAGGUGGUGCAUGGUUGUCGUCAGCUCGUGUCGUGAGAUGUUGGGUUAAGUCCCGCAACGAGCGCAACCCUUGAUCUUAGUUGCCAGCAUUCAGUUGGGCACUCUAAGGUGACUGCCGGUGACAAACCGGAGGAAGGUGGGGAUGACGUCAAAUCAUCAUGCCCCUUAUGACCUGGGCUACACACGUGCUACAAUGGAUGGUACAAA